RNAcentral lists this ribosomal RNA (406 nucleotides) under uncultured bacterium. RNAcentral describes it as "partial 16S ribosomal RNA". It matches the Rfam family "Bacterial small subunit ribosomal RNA", at positions 30 to 526 of the family's 1533-position model. The record is from RNAcentral.
AUUGAACGCUGGCGGCAGGCCUAACACAUGCAAGUCGAGCGAGCGGCGGACGGGUGAGUAAUGUCUGGGAAACUGCCUGAUGGAGGGGGAUAACUACUGGAAACGGUAGCUAAUACCGCAUACCAUCAGAUGUGCCCAGAUGGGAUUAGCUAGGAGGUGGGGUAACGGCUCACCUAGGCGACGAUCCCUAGCUGGUCUGAGAGGAUGACCGGCCAAGUUGGAACUGAGACACGGUCCAGACUCCUACGGGAGGCAGCAUGGUGGAAUGUUGCACAAUGUGCGCAAGCCUGAUGCAGCCAUGCCGCGUGUAUGAAGAAGGCCUUCGGGUUGUAAAGUACUUUCAGCGGGGAGGCGUUACCCGCAGAAGAAGCAACGGCUAACUCCGUGCCAGCCGCCGCGGUAAUAC